AUACACUGAUCGAGGGAAACUCAGCGUGCUUGUUUGUCUCUAAUACCUGUUCCCUUAUUGCAGAUUUCAAAUAAGAUGAUAGACUGGGAGUGCAGGGUGUAAAAAGAUGAAUCGUUCAAGACUCCACCUCCUCAGACACCACAGACUAGAACAUAGACACUGCUCAAAAAUAAGUCCACUUCCAUCUUGAAGAUUCUGAAGUGCACAUUGAGAAGGAGCCACUGGAGCAAUAUACGGUUGAGCGUUACAGCUCUAAUGGCCAAAUGCAUAGUGACCCAGUGAAUGUCUCCUUUGUUCUUGAGGACGAAUUGGUCACCACCCA
Molecule: non-coding RNA, 322 nt
Organism: Paramisgurnus dabryanus
Lineage: Eukaryota; Metazoa; Chordata; Actinopteri; Cypriniformes; Cobitidae
Source: RefSeq, a predicted model, not a curated record